RNAcentral lists this ribosomal RNA (468 nucleotides) under uncultured bacterium. Its description in RNAcentral is "partial 16S ribosomal RNA". It matches the Rfam family "Bacterial small subunit ribosomal RNA", at positions 28 to 507 of the family's 1533-position model. The record is from RNAcentral.
GACGAACGCUGGCGGCGUGCUUAACACAUGCAAGUCGAACGGAAAGGCCCUGCUUUUGUGGGGUGCUCGAGUGGCGAACGGGUGAGUAACACGUGAGUAACCUGCCCUUGACUUUGGGAUAACUUCAGGAAACUGGGGCUAAUACCGGAUAGGAGCUCCUGCUGCAUGGUGGGGGUUGGAUAGUUUCGGCGGUUGGGGAUGGACUAGCGGCUUAUCAGCUUGUUGGUUGGGUAGUGGCUUACCAAGGCUUUGACGGGUAGGCGGCCGGAGAGGGUGACCGGCCACAUUGCGACUGAGAUACGGCCCAGACUCCAACGGUAGGCAGCAGUGGGGAAUAUUGCACAAUGGGCGGAAGCCUGAUGCAGCAACGCCGCGUGCGGGAUGACGUCCUUCGGGUUGUAAACCGCUGUCGCCUGUGACGAAGCGUGAGUGACGGUAAUGGGUAAAGAAGCACCGGCUAACUACGUG